UCUGGGCGUAAGCGCGCGCAGGCGGUUGUGAAGACCGAUGUGAAUCCCCGAGCUCAACCUGGGAAUUGCAUUGGAGACUGCACAGCUAGAGUGUGGCAGAGGGGGGUGGAAUUCCACGUGUAGCGGUGAAAUGCGUAGAUAUGUGGAGGAAUACCGAUGGCGAAGGCAGCCCCCUGGACUGAUACUGACGCUGAUGCGCGAAAGCGUGGGGAGCAAACAGGAUUAGAUACCCUGGUAGUCCACGCCCUAAACGAUGUCAACUAGCUGUUGGGGAUCCUUGUUCCUUAGUAAGGCACCUCACACGCGAAAUUGACCGCCCGGGGAGAACACGGCGCCAGAUUA
This 342-nucleotide ribosomal RNA is filed under the name uncultured bacterium. RNAcentral describes it as "bacterial SSU rRNA". It matches the Rfam family "Bacterial small subunit ribosomal RNA", at positions 553 to 896 of the family's 1533-position model. The record is from RNAcentral.